RNAcentral lists this ribosomal RNA (254 nucleotides) under uncultured bacterium. RNAcentral's name for it is "partial 16S ribosomal RNA". It matches the Rfam family "Bacterial small subunit ribosomal RNA", at positions 524 to 776 of the family's 1533-position model. The record is from RNAcentral.
CACGUAGGCACCAAGCGUUGUCCGGAUUUAUUGGGCGUAAAGAGCUCGUAGGCGGUUCGGUAAGUCGGGUGUGAAAACUCUGGGCUCAACCCAGAGCCGCCACCCGAUACUGCUGUGACUCGAGUGCGGUAGGGGAGCGGGGAAUUCCUGGUGUAGCGGUGAAAUGCGCAGAUAUCAGGAGGAACACCGGUGGCGAAGGCGCUGCUCUGGGCCGGUACUGACGCUGAGGAGCGAAAGCGUGGGUAGCAAACAGG